This is a long non-coding RNA of Culex quinquefasciatus (southern house mosquito), 482 nucleotides long. RefSeq lists it as uncharacterized. NCBI's taxonomy places the organism in Eukaryota, Metazoa, Arthropoda, Insecta, Diptera, Culicidae. The transcript is spliced from 3 exons. The record is from RefSeq and is a predicted model, not a curated record.
CUGCGCGCGCUUUGACGAGCGGUUGCUCAAACCGACACGUGAUUGGAACUCAGUUACGAUCUUAAGAGGCCGCACGUGCAGAUUCUGAACCAAGGGUUUGACUCGUUUAUCUUCGUGAGAAUUGGAAAAGGAGAGCGUGUAGGCCGUGUACCUUCAGCGUACCGAGUGGGAGCGGGACACACUAUUAGAGAGCGAUAUUUCCCGAAUAGGCUAAGCCCAACGCAACGUUUACGUGCAUCCGGUGGAUUCGUACGUAACUUCGGCGAUCAGUUUCCCAGGCUCGAGUCUGAGAAAUUUUAGUGACUCGAUCACAUUCUCCUAACCCGUGGAACGAUUCGGAAGUGCAGUGAAUUUGCUGGAGUUGUAACAAGCUAGGCCGAUAGAAAAGUAGUGCGAUAGAUAGCUAGCUUUUGUGACCUUUGUGCGAGAACCUGCGAAGAAAGGCAGCGUGGUCACAAGUUUACUUGUCUCCGGCGGCUUCC